Molecule: non-coding RNA, 77 nt
Organism: Podarcis lilfordi (Lilford's wall lizard)
Lineage: Eukaryota; Metazoa; Chordata; Lepidosauria; Squamata; Lacertidae
Source: the annotation of a GenBank genome assembly
GGCAGCAGUUAGCUCAGUUGGUUUGGAGCAUGGUGCUGGUAACGCAAAGCUCGCGGGUUUGAUGCCCUGACGUGCCA